This 1972-nucleotide long non-coding RNA is filed under the name Triticum aestivum (bread wheat). RNAcentral's name for it is "long non-coding RNA (TAES_LNC016606)". The record is from RNAcentral. Lineage: Eukaryota; Viridiplantae; Streptophyta; Magnoliopsida; Poales; Poaceae.
AAACACACUAAAAAUGACUAUUAAGAAGACCACUAGAUCAAGAGGUAAAUCAAUCAAUUCUUCAGUUCAAGAAAUAAUGAUAUGAGGCAUAAAGAAUGCUUAAUAUCAAGUACGGAGAAGAACACUAGAUAAACAGAAUGAAGCAUGCCCUCAGCCCAAGAAAAUAGAGACAUGAGGCGGAUGAGUUCGACAAUAUUUCAAAAGCAGAACAAAACGGCUUGGUAAUUUUAGCAUCAACACAAGCAGUAGUCACUUCAUCCCGAAAUGGUAUCUAAAGUCUGAAACAAGCAUAGCUUUCGUGCAACCACAUGACAGUCACUUCUGAUAAACACAAAAAGAAGAAAUCAGCAGGCUCAUACUUGAUCCAAUACAUAGACAUUGCAACUCAUGAGUAUACGAAAACUAGGCCAUUAAGAAGCACCGCCUCACUCAACAGCCGUCUGAUUAAAGGUGAAGCGUCCACAACGUAACCUUCUAGUGUUGUGAAAAGAUCAUGCGGAACAAGAGUUUGUUUGAGCCGGUGCCUAGAUGCAUAGAUAUCUUGGAUGCUAGCAACCAGUUUGCCAUCAGUGUCAACGUAAAACAGCCAAUGACCAAAACUGACCAGCAAGAGAAGAACACUAGAUAAACAGAAUGAAGCAUGCCCUCAAUCCUAAACAACUUCUGUUUCAUAGUAUGAUCCGAAGUCCAAACAGCGCGUCUGUGCGCUCUGAACAGGAUGUUACUAGCUAUAAAGUACAGCACCUGCCCGCAGAAAUAUGUUAACAUCUGAAUCUACCAAACGCAUGUAGAAACAACAAAAAACAAAUUGUGCCCGGAACUUUUAUAUGCACAGCACCGCCAAAGAAGUUAUCAACAGCAUUUGUGCUACAAGCUUCGCAUGAAGCAUCUAUCCAAAAUGGUUAACAAUUGAAUUGAAAUAAUAAUAGGUAAUAAUUGCAAACCGUGCAACAGAAAAAUGCAACAAGAUAUUCAUAGGUUUUCAGGACUGCGGUACCAGACUUUUGUAGAACAAUACUACUACAGACAUGUCCAAUUCUCGAUAUAGUGGUGAGCUUAGUCUCUGUAAGACCUAACUAACCAUGUCCAUCAUUUCUCUGAUUAUUUUAUUAGCUAUUGGGCAAAGGGCAUAAAUAUGACACUGAAACCUAGCCUAAAAUCUCUUUACACAAGAAAUCAAAAGGAUUUGGAAUGAUUUGUUAAAGUAAAACAUGUCUAAAUCCUGCAAUAAAUAGAUCUGCUCCAAGCUAUCAUGACAGACACACGUAAGAUGGCUCCGUGGCCAUCAAUCAUCUCCUACAAGCCUACAAUCCAAUACAUGAUCCUGCAUAAGCCAAGUUUUAAUUUACGAGAGCAUCAUAUCAACUGAGCUCGUAUGCUAGUUAACUUAUAACCAGCAACAGACAGCUACAGUUGACGGUGGUAGAUGCAUGAAGAAAACUGAAUUAUAACAGAACAAUUCAUUGAGAAGUUGACUAUGAUGCAACAUGCAAGCAUUUAACUAAAUUAGUUGUGCUCCAAGGUAUUCUAGAAGACAGGUGCAGCUUCAAGUCAGCAAGGAGUAAAACCUGCCUCUUCUCAUUGCCAGCUACAACAAAGGGUACAAACAGCAAACACACACAAAAAUUGACUAUUAAGAAGACCACUAGAUCAAGAGGUAAAUCAAUCAAUUCUUCAGUUCAAGAAACAGUGAUGUGAGGCAUAAAGAAUGCUUAAUAUCAAGUAUGGAGAAGAACACUAGAUGAAUAUAGAAUAAAGCAUGUCCUCAGCCCAAGAAAAUAGAGACAUGAGGCGGAUGAGCUCGACAAUAUUUCAAAAGCAGAACAAAACGGCUUGGUAAUUUUAGCAUCAACACAAGCAGUAGUCACUUCAUCCCGAAAUGGUAUCUAAAGUCUGAAACAAGCAUAGGUUUCAUGCAACCACAUGACAGUCACUUCUGAUCGACACAAAAAGAAGAAAUCAGCAGGCCCAU